UAAGGAAUAUUGGUCAAUGGGCGCAAGCCUGAACCAGCCAUGCCGCGUGCAGGAUGACGGCCCUAUGGGUUGUAAACUGCUUUUGUACGGGAAAAAACCCUUUUACGUGUAAGAGGUUGAUGGUACCGUAAGAAUAAGGAUCGGCUAACUCCGUGCCAGCAGCCGCGGUAAUACGGAGGAUCCAAGCGUUAUCCGGAUUUAUUGGGUUUAAAGGGUGCGUAGGCGGCUUAUUAAGUCAGUGGUGAAAGCCUGGAGCUUAACUCCAGAACUGCCAUUGAUACUGAUGAGCUUGAGUACAGUUGAGGUGGGCGGAAUGUGUCAUGUAGCGGUGAAAUGCUUAGAUAUGACACAGAACUCCAAUUGCGAAGGCAGCUCGCUAAACUGUAACUGACGCUGAGGCACGAAAGCGUGGGUAGCAAACAG
RNAcentral lists this ribosomal RNA (423 nucleotides) under uncultured bacterium. RNAcentral describes it as "bacterial SSU rRNA". It matches the Rfam family "Bacterial small subunit ribosomal RNA", at positions 355 to 775 of the family's 1533-position model. The record is from RNAcentral.